AAUCAACGCUGGCGGCGUGCCUCAGACAUGCAAGUCGAACGCGAAAUUUCCCUUCGGGGAGAAAGUAGAGUGGCGCACGGGUGAGUAACACGUAGGUAAUUUGCCUUUGGGUGGGGAAUAACUCAGGGAAACUUGAGCUAAUACCGCAUAAUGCAGCGGCUCGACAUCGAGACAGUUGUUAAAGCGGGGGAUUGGAGCAAUCCGACCUCGCGCCUAAAGAGAAGCCUGCGGCAGAUUAGCUAGUUGGUAAGGUAAUGGCUUACCAAGGCGACGAUCUGUAACCGGCCUGAGAGGGCGGUCGGUCACACUGACACUGACAUACGGGUCAGACUCCUACGGAGGCAGCAGUCGGGAAUUUUGGGCAAUGGGCGCAAGCCUGACCCAGCAACGCCGCGUGAAGGAUGAAAUUUUUCGGAAUGUAAACUUCGCAAGAACAGGAAGAAUAAGUGUGGGACAAUACCCACAUGAUGACGGUACUGUUUGUAAGCUCCGGCUAACUCCGUGCCA
This 507-nucleotide ribosomal RNA is filed under the name uncultured bacterium. Its description in RNAcentral is "bacterial SSU rRNA". It matches the Rfam family "Bacterial small subunit ribosomal RNA", at positions 32 to 510 of the family's 1533-position model. The record is from RNAcentral.